This 431-nucleotide ribosomal RNA is filed under the name uncultured Pelagibacteraceae bacterium. RNAcentral describes it as "bacterial SSU rRNA". It matches the Rfam family "Bacterial small subunit ribosomal RNA", at positions 29 to 505 of the family's 1533-position model. Lineage: Bacteria; Pseudomonadati; Pseudomonadota; Alphaproteobacteria; Candidatus Pelagibacterales; Candidatus Pelagibacteraceae. The record is from RNAcentral.
AAUGUACGCUGGCGGCACGCCUAACACAUGCAAGUCGAGCGAGGUACUUGUACCUAGCGGCAGACGGGUGCGUAACAUGUGGGAAUCUGCCUUUUGGUUCGGAACAACACGGGGAAACUUGUGCUAAUACCGGAUAAGUCCUAACGGAGAAAGAUUUAUCGCCGAAAGAUGAGCCCGCACUAGAUUAGCUUGUUGGUAAGGUAAAAGCUUACCAAGGCUACGAUCUAUAGCUGAUUUGAGAGGAUGAUCAGCCACACUGGGACUGAGACACGGCCCAGACUCCUACGGGAGGCAGCAGUGGGGAAUCUUGCACAAUGGAGGAAACUCUGAUGCAGCGAUGCCGCGUGAGUGAAGAAGGCCCUUGGGUUGUAAAGCUCUUUUGUCGGGAAAGAUAAUGACUGUACCCGAAGAAUAAGGUCCGGCUAACUUCG